UACGUAGGGAGCAAGCGUUGUCCGGAAUCAUUGGGCGUAAAGCGCGCGUAGGCGGCCAUAUAAGUCCGUUGUGAAAGUCAAAGGCUCAACCUUUGAAAGCCGAUGGAUACUGUGUGGCUAGAGUACGGGAGAGGCGAGUGGAAUUCCUGGUGUAGCGGUGGAAUGCGCAGAUAUCAGGAGGAACACCAAUAGCGAAGGCAGCUCGCUGGGACGUUACUGACACUGAGGCGCGAAAGCGUGGGGAGCGAACAGG
Molecule: ribosomal RNA, 253 nt
Filed under: uncultured bacterium
Lineage: Bacteria
Description: partial 16S ribosomal RNA
Rfam family: Bacterial small subunit ribosomal RNA
Source: RNAcentral